UAUCAUGUUGUCUUGACUGCAACUGCACGUACCUUCAUCCACGGCACGGGUACGGGAGCAGCAGCAAACAAAAAGCAGAGCAGAUAGCAGGAAAGGCUUGCAGAGGAAGAGUGCAGAGGCCUAUGCCGAGUGCUCUCUGGAUUAUAUAAUUAAGAAUGGAGGCUGCAGCGCGCGUGGAGGCAGACGCCGGCGAGUCAGCAGCGAUUUUUGGUGCAAUUGAUUUGGUCCUUCUUGUGGUCACAGUUGGCAUCGCGGGAUGGCUUCUGAUGAAGAAAUUGCGGCCAACACCGCCCCCGUCCAUCAACUACGACGUCCAAGUCGUCAGUUCGAUGUACCAAUCAACACCAAGUUCAGAGACGUCCUUUGUGCAGAAACUGCGCACGUCUGGACGCAGCCUGGUCGUGUUUUACGGUAGCCAGACAGGCACUGCUGAAGAGUUCGCUAGUCGACUGGCCAAGGAGGGAGGCCGCUUCAGUCUCAAGGGAAUGCUGGCAGACCCUGAGGAGUGUUCCAUGGAGGAACUGUCACAGCUUAAGGACAUUCCUAACUCAUUAGCGCUGUUCUGCCUCGCCACAUACGGCGAAGGUGACCCCACCGACAACGCACAGGAGUUUUUUGAGUGGCUCCAGAAUGGCGAUGCUGACCUCAGCGGGCUCAACUAUGCUGUUUUUGGACUGGGAAACAAAACCUACGAGCACUACAACGAAAUGGGCAAGUUCGUGGACAAGCGGCUUGAGGAUCUGGGCGCAACUCGCGUUUUUGAACUCGGCAUGGGUGAUGACGAUGCCAACAUCGAGGAUGACUUCAUAACAUGGAAAGACCGUCUUUGGCCGGCAGUAUGCGAAUUUUUCGGCAUUGAAGCUAGCGGCGAAGAGGAAAGCAUGCGUCAAUAUAAACUCACCGAGCAUGCAGACAUCGCACCCGAAAAAGUGUACAAGGGCGAGGUUGCAAGACUCAAUUCGCUCGUCACACAGCGCCCGCCUUUUGACUCCAAGAACCCCUUCAUGGCGCCAAUAUUAGAGAAGCGAGAACUCUACACUGGUGGUGAUCGCUCUUGUUUGCACAUCGAACUUGGAAUCACUGACUCAAAGAUCAGAUAUGAUGCUGGCGAUCACGUGGCUGUGUAUCCUGAAAACGACAAAGCUCUAGUGGAGCGUAUUGGCCAACUCCUUGAAGUUGACCUGGACACUGUUAUUACCCUGACCAACGUUGAUAGUGACUCUAGUAAAAAGACUCCGUUCCCCUGUCCGUGCUCGUACAGAACUGCUCUCUCAUUUUACGUCGAUAUAACCAGCAAUCCGAGAACGCACGUGUUGAAAGAAAUAUCCGAAUUCACUAGUGACCCUGAAGAGAAAGCAAAGCUGAAGCAGAUGGCCAGCACCACUGCUGAGGGCAAGCAGGAGUACCAAGAGUGGGUCAUCAAGGAGAAUCGGUCCAUUGUCCACAUCCUGGAGGACCUGAAAUCAUGCAAGCCACCUCUUGAUUAUUUGUUGGAGCUGUUACCGCGCCUGCAAUGCAGAUAUUACUCCAUUUCAUCCUCUCCCAAGGCACACGCUGAGAGAAUACACGUUACCGCAGCUAUUGUGCAAUACAAAACUCCGACAGGGCGCACCGUCAACGGCGUCGCCACUAGCUGGCUGGGCCGUCUGUCGUUGAACGAUAAAAUACCCAUAUUUGUCCGUCGUUCCGCAUUCCGCCUUCCGACCAGGCCGCAGACUCCUGUUGUCAUGAUUGGUCCUGGCACAGGAAUUGCUCCCUUCCGUGGAUUCCUGCAAGAACGAGCAUUUUGUUUGGAGCAAGGUAAACUGAUUGGGGAGACUAUUCUGUAUUUUGGCUGUCGGAAACGGGACGAGGACUUCCUUUACCAAGAAGAGCUCACGGAGUUUGUUAACAAAGGUGUUCUUAAGCUGCAUACUGCAUUUUCUCGAGAAAAAGAGCACAAAGUUUACGUGACGCAUUUGAUGGAGCAGCACAAAGAGGACUUGUGGCGCAUUUUAGGAAAGGAAAAUGGCCAUCUCUAUGUUUGUGGUGAUGCACGCAAAACUUACAAAGAUGGAGAAGAGAAGAAGGAUUUUGUGAUCCAUGCUGCACAGAAUGCCAACCGGGUAAGCAGAUCAAGCAGAAAACCGUCCUAAAACCGGCGAGUCCAGCCCACGGAUCGCCAUCAACAAGAAAUUCUCAGCAGUUCUCUGAUUCAGAGCGCACGCAAGCCAACGAAACAAAAUUUCCCUAAUCAAGAAACCUUGAAAUUUCAAAAUGAGGGAAAUGUGUAGAACCAGAAAUCCAAAAACAUUUCAAGAGUGUUGAUUGUUUAUUAAUGAAUGACAUAUGUCUCAUUUAAAUAAACUGAAUAUUUUUUAAACUCUAAAUCAAUCUAUAUCUUUAUGAUAUCAUGUGGCAACCCUGAUUAUAAAAAAGGGGCGUCACAGUACAUUUAUGUAUUUCAAAAUCAUCACUUUUCACUACUUCUAAUUUUUUAUCUUAUCGGGUACGCGGCUCGCCAAAUCAGCGAAAUACAAUUGAUAAGUUGGAAACAAAUAGAUGAUCAAAGCAUUCAAAAAUGGAAUACGCACUGGAAGCCGCUAUGGACGAAAUGAUGCAGGCUGCUGACGUGAAGGGCGUGCUCUUGACAGACAAGACUGGCAUGACUCUGGGACUACGAGGGCUUGGUGCAAACCUGAACGCUGGAGGUGUCGACCGGCUAGCCAAAAUCGCAGCUAAACUGGACCCGAGUGGCCGGCUUCCUCAAGUGGUGGCUGUCGAGGGCGAAAGCUCGCACAUUUUAAUCCAGCAAAGGCCCAACUUCACCGGUGCAGUGGUCAAAGAGGUCAUCUCAGCUCAUAAUCCUACUUCGUCGGAAAACACUUUCUAAAAAUUUAAGGUAUUGCAGGUACUUGGUACUUAAAAAUAUUAAUGAAAAUAUAAUUAUAUCAUGAAAAAUUGUUAUUAUUUACCGCUCAUGAUAUAAUAAUUUAAAUACGGUCAGGGAUCUAUCUAAGUGCAAAUUUUUAAAGGUGCCAUACAUGAUUUAGCCUAAAAUUUAAUGUAAAGUACUGUUUGCUGCCAUCGUAUGUACAUAUAUUGAAUUUAUUGUAUCCAUGCAAAAAUAAAACUGAUAUUAUCUCGA
Molecule: RNA transcript, 3127 nt
Organism: Cloeon dipterum
Lineage: Eukaryota; Metazoa; Arthropoda; Insecta; Ephemeroptera; Baetidae
Gene: Cpr
Gene name: NADPH--cytochrome P450 reductase
Exons: 13
Source: RefSeq, a predicted model, not a curated record